This 636-nucleotide ribosomal RNA is filed under the name Acarospora carnegiei. RNAcentral describes it as "SSU rRNA". It matches the Rfam family "Bacterial small subunit ribosomal RNA", at positions 391 to 1113 of the family's 1533-position model. The record is from RNAcentral. Lineage: Eukaryota; Fungi; Ascomycota; Lecanoromycetes; Acarosporales; Acarosporaceae.
GUAUUAUUAGUUAAUGCAAGAUCGACUACGUCGACUAAAGUUCUAGGUAGAAUAAUGAUGAUGACAAUUUUUUACCUAUAUGUCUUGACCAAGUCUCGUGCCAGCAGUCGCGGUAAUACGUGGAAGACUAGUGUUAUUCAUCUUUAUUAGGUUUAAAGGGUACCUAGACGGUAUUUCUAGCCCAAAAUAGGGUACGGAUUUACUAGAGUUUUAUGUGAGGAGGGGAGUACUCGUGGAGUAGAGAUGAAAUUUUGUUAUACUAUGAGGUAACUGGUAGCGGCGAAAGCAACCUUCUAUGUAUAAACUGACGUUGAGGGACGAAGGCUUGGGUAGCAAAUAGGAUUAGAUACCCUAGUAGUCCAAGCAGACAAUUCUGAAUGCCAUAGAUUAGAUUAUUUUUGAUCUAUAAAUGAAAGUGUAAGCAUUCCACCUUAGGAGUAAUGUGGCAACACAGGAACUGAAAUCAUUAGACCGUUUCUGAAACCAGUAGUGAAGUAUGUUAUUUAAAUUGAUGGUCCACAAAAAACCUUACCACAACUUGAAUAUUUUUAAUUAAUACAAGCGUUGCACGGCUGUCUUCAGUUAAUGUCGUGAGAUUUUGGUUAACUCCAUUAAUUAACGUAAACCCUUACUUUA